This 240-nucleotide unclassified non-coding RNA is filed under the name soil metagenome. Its description in RNAcentral is "partial contains 5.8S ribosomal RNA, internal transcribed spacer 2, and large subunit ribosomal RNA". The record is from RNAcentral.
AACGCACGAGACCUGCGGACCUGCGGAGGGAUCAUUAUCGAAUUCAAUCCAGCUUUUCUUUGCUGUGCAUUCACUUGCACGCCGGGAAGGUUGGCUCUUUUGAAUUUACACACCUGUGCACUUCGAUCGUCUUUUUCACUCAUGCAUUCGUGCGUGAUUUUGUCUGCUCCUCGGAGUGGGAUUGGUGCGUUGCGGUGAACUCUGUUCAUAGCUCGCACUUGAAGAAGGCGUUCGCUUUUU